UACGGGGGGAGCAAGCGUUGUUCGGAUUUACUGGGCGUAAAGGGCGGGUAGGCGGCCACCGCAAGUCGACUGUGAAAUCUCCGGGCUUAACUCGGAACGGUCAGCUGAUACUGCUUUGCUAGAGUGCAGAAGGGGCAAUCGGAAUUCUUGGUGUAGCGGUGAAAUGCGUAGAUAUCAAGAGGAACACCUGAGGUGAAGACGGGUUGCUGGGCUGACACUGACGCUGAGGCGCGAAAGCUAGGGUAGCAAACGGG
This 254-nucleotide ribosomal RNA is filed under the name uncultured bacterium. RNAcentral describes it as "partial 16S ribosomal RNA". It matches the Rfam family "Bacterial small subunit ribosomal RNA", at positions 524 to 776 of the family's 1533-position model. The record is from RNAcentral.